RNAcentral lists this ribosomal RNA (253 nucleotides) under uncultured bacterium. RNAcentral's name for it is "partial 16S ribosomal RNA". It matches the Rfam family "Bacterial small subunit ribosomal RNA", at positions 524 to 776 of the family's 1533-position model. The record is from RNAcentral.
UACGUAGGGUGCAAGCGUUGUCCGGAAUCAUUGGGCGUAAAGCGCGCGUAGGUGGUCAUGUAAGUCCGCUGUGAAAGUCAAAGGCUCAACCUCUGAAAGCCGGUGGAUACUGCAUGACUAGAGUACGGAAGAGGCGAGUGGAAUUCCUGGUGUAGCGGUGGAAUGCGCAGAUAUCAGGAGGAACACCAAUAGCGAAGGCAGCUCGCUGGGACGUUACUGACACUGAGGCGCGAAAGCGUGGGGAGCGAACAGG